Molecule: RNA transcript, 3417 nt
Organism: Canis lupus familiaris (dog)
Lineage: Eukaryota; Metazoa; Chordata; Mammalia; Carnivora; Canidae
Gene name: WW domain-binding protein 11-like
Exons: 3
Source: RefSeq, a predicted model, not a curated record
GGCUUUAUGUCUUCAUCAGUCAAUCCAAACAAGUUAGAGGAUCUUGGUGUUUGGUUUUGGGGUGAGCGUGUGUAGAAGGGUGUGGAUUGCCAAAAAAAAAAAAAAAAAAGAAAAAAAAGAAAAGAAAAACAGAAAAAAGAAAAAAAGAAAGAAAAGGAAAAAGAAAAAGAAAAGGGAAAAGGAAAAAGGGACCCCUUCCCCCCAGGUUUCCUGCCACAAGUGGGUACUAAAACUCCAUCCUUAAUUGGGGGGAGGUUCCAACUUUGAAUGUGGGAAUAAAGGCCAAACCUCCCGACCCCCUGAACUCCACACACGAAAAGGAUCAGGUAACACGCCACCCUUGGAAUCUUGUAAGAGGGUUGACUCAUCUACCCCUUCCAUUCCCACAUCCUUUUCUAAACACCUACCACCUCCUCAAAAACACAACUGAAAAGAAUUCCAACCACCCCAAAAAGGUGGGGGGAAAUUUUCAGGGAAACCAGCUUCCCCCCCCCUCGGAUUCUCGGGCCUUCCUACAUCUCCCCCUACUCCUAGUCGGGCUGACCUGAUUGGAGGGGGGCACUAAACUUUCCAGAACAGAGAAGAGCCAGGGAAGGAGGCGGGAGGGAUAGGGUGAGCAGAGGAGGCGACAGGGCAGGACGGAGAGGAGAAAGAGAACCGGGGCAAAGUGAAGUCGCUGCCGGCCGCUUUCUCCUCAGCCGCCGCCUCCUCAGCCGCCGGUGCCGCCGCGGCCGGACUCACCUCCCCUAGCAAAGCCGGAUAGAGCGGAGCCAGCGGCGGACACGCGCAACCAGCCACCGAGGCCCCGCCCCCGCCUCACACUGACCGGCUGCCCUAGCCAAUCCACGCCCACCUGUCUGCGUCUGCCUCCAAUCCUGAGCCCGGAGCUUCAGACAGGCGCACUGCUCGGCCAGUGGCAACAAGGUGAGCAGGAAGCUGCGUGCUAAUCCCGCCCGCAAAAGCUGGAAGAGAGGGUGGAAUAAAAGAACCAAUCAUGAACCGGGGACCAAGAACAGAGGCAACCAAUCCUUGGCUUGAAGACGAAGUGGGAUGGGACUGGGGCCAGAUAGACACUUGACUUGACAAAUGGAAAAAAGAUUGAUCUCGGUCCCACCCUCCAGGUCUCCUAUAGGUCAAGAUUGUGGAGAAUUCGCUGUCGUAUCAGCGACGACCUCUUCGGGGGUGGGGCCAAGUGAAAGGGGUGUGGUCUAAAGAGAGGUAGGCGGGACUUCGAGGAAGAAGGCGGAGUCCCAAUGUCGCUGGUCCAUUGAUAAGAGCCAUGUCCUAUCCGUUUCUAAGUCAUCAAGUGUGGAGAAGAAAUAGAGAAAGCAAAAAGGGAUGUCAAACUUCAGAAACUCAGUUCCAAGGUUACCCAACAAGACAAUCACAGAAGAAACUCAGUAGACUCCUAGUUCCCAGCCUAUGGCUGGUCCUCCAUGGCUAAUCCUCAUCUUGGCAAAAAGAGGUGCGGUCUCCAGCAUUCACCACUACACUCUCAAGGGGCGAGAAGGCUCUCGAUGCAAAUUAAAGCAACAAAGAUGAUAAACUUAACCACGGAGAUCGUAAUUUUCUCUUGCAUGUUUCGUUACUGAAAUCUCACUGAAAUAGCAUCUUUCACUAUCACAUAACCUCACUUACUUGAACUUUAUUUUAAAAUACCAAAUGAUAAGCUCACGUAAUGUUAUCCUUAGGAAAACUUCACUCAGAACUCUGGAGAUCAUCUUUGAUGUCUGUCUGCCCACUCCUUCCCUUCUAAUCAAUCGUCAAGUCUUGGACAUUUUAAACCACUUCUAAACACCCUCCUUCCUCCCUAGUUACCACAAUAUUACCCUAAUUUAUGUCACUACCAUCUUUAGCACAUCUCCCUGCCUGAAGGCUAACACACCUCUAUUCCAUCCUCCACUGGGAGUAUAGCAACCUUUUAAAAACACAAGUCUGAUCGUGUGGACUUUUGAAAAAAGUCAAUAAUAGAUCCGCUUGAUCUGUUUCUCAUAUUGCUCAAUGACCUUAUCUAUCACCUCCACCCUCUAUACUUCAUACAUUCUGAACUUUCAGUUCCACAAAUGGUUUGUGGCUUCCAGGCCUUCAUGCUUAUCUUUGGCACCAAACACUCCCUAUCCACUCCUCUAAUUUAUCGUUCAGAUGAAUUUUACCUUUCACGUAAAUUUUAUCUUUUUUUUUCUGGAAAAUUUUUCCUAAUUCUGUUGUAGAGUAUGUAUCUCUGUUAUGUAUUUCCAUUGCACUGCCUCUCUCAUAGCGCUGAGAACUCUAUAUUUUAAUUGUUUACUGAGUUUGACCAGGAUCUAAAACGUAUCUGCCACAUGGGACGCCUAACUGGCUCAGCAGUAGAGUGUCUGCCUUUGGCUCAGGGCAUGAUCCCCUCCGGGGAUCGAGUCCCCCAUCCGGCUUCCUGCAUGGAGCCUGCUUCUCCCUCUGCCUGUGUCUGUACCUCUCUCUCUGUCUCUUAUGAAUAAAUAAACAGAAAAUAAGUAAAUUAAUUAAUUAAUUAAUUAAAAAAACUUAUCUGUCGCACUCUAUGUUGUAUUCCCAGUUCCUGGGGCAGUGUCUAAAAGGUGGAGAUACUUAAUAAGGAGCUGCAUGAGUUAUUGAGUGCAGGAGAGGUAGAUACCAAUCCAAGCUCUGCCGUUUAUUAGUUCUGGGACUUAAGCCCUUUAAAUAUAACCUUCCUCAGUCUCAGUUGCCUCCACUUAAAAUGGAGAUAAUAAAGUGUGCCUCAUCAAGUUGAGUUGAGGAUUAAAUGAGGUAAUGUAUUCAAAAGUUCUUGAAGUAGUAAAAGUUCAAAAUAUGUUAAUUUUAUUUCCUAACCUCCAUCUUCACAUGAUAUCUAAGAUGUGCUUCCAGUUUCCCCAUGCAUAUCAGUGUCCUCCAAAGUAUAGUUUCUUAGAAGCUUAUUAGAAAUGCAAAGUCUCAGGUUUUACCCCAGAUCUACUGAAUCAGAGUCUCAUGGGCAGGAAUCUGUUUAAUAAGCCCUCCAGGGGAUUUUUACACACACUAAAAUUUGAAAAGCAUUGGCCUAGAAUAAAAGGGCUGAGUCUUAAACUUUGUUUACUUUUCAGCACCUAGAAAGUACUCAAUACAUGUGAAAUAAGGAAAUAGAUUCAAUCUACCAGAAAUGAUUGUGUGAUAGGAACUGUUUAUUCCUGCCACAAACAUUUAUUGAGCACCAACUAUAUCUAGGCAUGAUGCUAGGUUCAACAAUAGGGGAGGUAAGAUACCUGACCUAACAGAGUCUCUACCAUUAAGGAGCUCUAAGUCUGAUUCAGGGGUUCCCAAAAUGAUAUGAGUACACCCUUAAUGGCCAAAGGGAGCCAUUAGGCACCAGGAGGAAAUUAGUACAACUUCUAUUUCUGCCUAUUUUUUAUUUCAUCAUUUUUUUCCUAAGACUUUAUUUAUUUA